AGGGUUCGAUUAUGGCUCAGGAUGAACGCUAGCUACAGGCUUAACACAUGCAAGUCGAGGGGCAGCAUUCCAGUUUGCUUGCAAACUGGAGAUGGCGACCGGCGCACGGGUGAGUAACACGUAUCCAACCUGCCGAUAACUCGGGGAUAGCCUUUCGAAAGAAAGAUUAAUACCCGAUGGCAUAAUAGAACCGCAUGGUUUGAUUAUUAAAGAAUUUCGGUUAUCGAUGGGGAUGCGUUCCAUUAGGCAGUUGGUGGGGUAACGGCCCACCAAACCUUCGAUGGAUAGGGGUUCUGAGAGGAAGGUCCCCCACAUUGGAACUGAGACACGGUCCAA
RNAcentral lists this ribosomal RNA (336 nucleotides) under uncultured bacterium. RNAcentral describes it as "bacterial SSU rRNA". It matches the Rfam family "Bacterial small subunit ribosomal RNA", at positions 8 to 334 of the family's 1533-position model. The record is from RNAcentral.